This is a long non-coding RNA of Oncorhynchus tshawytscha (Chinook salmon), 630 nucleotides long. NCBI's taxonomy places the organism in Eukaryota, Metazoa, Chordata, Actinopteri, Salmoniformes, Salmonidae. The record is from Ensembl.
GUUUACAUUACAGCCUGCUGGUCGAUGGUCAGGUGAGCUAUCCUAUCCACAGCUGGCCAUAUCAACAUGGUGACGAGGGCCAUUCUGUCAACACAGGCCUGGGAUUUACGUAAAGAAACAGGGGUGCUGUUUGAGCGUGUGGCGAUGGAUCUGGUGGGUCCAUUGGUGAAGACCGCGAGGGGACACCAAUACAUCAUGGUAACCGUGGUUUAUGCCAUCCGGUAUCCUGAGAUGAUCCCAUUACACACGGCGGUAGCGAAAGGUAUCGCACGGGAUCUCUGUGCUACAGAUCGGGGCUCCAGCAUGGCAAUGCGAACGCCCUCUCCAGGAGGGAUGCAAACUUAGCCCUGAACACGCCUCCCUCCUGUAGGGCUAAGGGGGGAGGGGGGGUACUCCCUCUGCUGGGAGUACACGGGCUGGGCACCCCAACACGGAUGGCUCCAAUUACAGGUACGUGCCAACCAGCCAGAGAGGCCACAUAAAAGGAGCACUGUGGCACACCGAGGGGGAGAACCGAGAGACCGUUACAGAGCAGAAGCUGAGAAGAAGGACCAAGCCAAACCUACGUGAUUUCGUUGUUCUGUUUAUUUUAUUGCCUAGUAAAGUCGUGUUUGUUGACUAGAACCUCCC